Molecule: small nucleolar RNA, 104 nt
Organism: Colobus angolensis palliatus
Lineage: Eukaryota; Metazoa; Chordata; Mammalia; Primates; Cercopithecidae
Source: Ensembl
AGUUUUUUGUGGUUCAUAAGCAUGAUGAUUGGGUUUUCAUGCUCAUGUGUGAGAUGUGCCUCCCUCAAACCUUGUUACGACGUUGGUGCAUUACCCAUCUGAUG